GACGAACGCUGGCGGCGUGCUUAACACAUGCAAGUCGAACGGAAAGGCCCUGCUUUUGUGGGGUGCUCGAGUGGCGAACGGGUGAGUAACACGUGAGUAACCUGCCCUUGACUUUGGGAUAACUUCAGGAAACUGGGGCUAAUACCGGAUAGGAGCUCCUGCUGCAUGGUGGGGGUUGGAUAGUUUCGGCGGUUGGGGAUGGACUCGCGGCUUAUCAGCUUGUUGGUGGGGUAGUGGCUUACCAAGGCUUUGACGGGUAGCCGGCCUGAGAGGGUGACCGGCCACAUUGGGACUGAGAUACGGCCCAGACUCCUACGGGAGGCAGCAGUGGGGAAUAUUGCACAAUGGGCGGAAGCCUGAUGCAGCAACGCCGCGUGCGGGAUGACGGCCUUCGGGUUGUAAACCGCUUUCGCCUGUGACGAAGCGUGAGAGGCGGUAAUGGGUAAAGAAGCACCGGCUAACUACGUG
Molecule: ribosomal RNA, 468 nt
Filed under: uncultured bacterium
Lineage: Bacteria
Description: partial 16S ribosomal RNA
Rfam family: Bacterial small subunit ribosomal RNA
Source: RNAcentral